This 591-nucleotide unclassified non-coding RNA is filed under the name Hevea brasiliensis (rubber tree). Lineage: Eukaryota; Viridiplantae; Streptophyta; Magnoliopsida; Malpighiales; Euphorbiaceae. The record is from RNAcentral.
CUUUUACCCAAGAAUGAAGAAGUCUUGGCACCUGGAGUCUGUUUUGUGCAUAAUGAUAUUUAGGAAACUCAUUAUAGAAUUUUGUUUGGACUAAGUUCCAUUUGCUGUUUUCUUUUAAAUGAAUUUACUUGUGUGUUUCUUUUGUAAUUUUAACAUUCUAUUCCUGUAUGUAUUUGUAUUUUUAUAUGAUAUGUUUUGAAUUUGUGUGCAUGUCCAUGUGCAUAGUCAAUUAUUUGGUAAUAAUCAUAUUCCCACAGGCUUGACAGAUGGCAUAUGGUUAAACUAUUAUCUGAGUCUUUGUUUUUCAUGCAUUCUUGCUUUCAUGGCUAGGGAGGAAAAGAUUUGAAUUUUAAAUGUGCAUGAUUCAGGAUGUAUGCCAUUAAUUAGAUUUGCUAAUGGCCAAUGAGAAGUAGGAACAUUUUGUGCCCAAUCGAAGAGUACUUCAGUUUCAACUAUUCUCUAUUGUAUUGUUUUUAAUCAUGUGAAUGGUUAAUUUCUUGACAAUCUUAAUCUUAAUUUCUGUCAGUCUGAACAUUUGUGUCAGAAAUUUGAGGAAUGGUAUGAAGAUAUCUCUGAGAGUAAUUCUCUAUG